This 570-nucleotide ribosomal RNA is filed under the name Triticum aestivum (bread wheat). RNAcentral's name for it is "partial small subunit ribosomal RNA". Lineage: Eukaryota; Viridiplantae; Streptophyta; Magnoliopsida; Poales; Poaceae. The record is from RNAcentral.
AUGAAUGUCCUUGCCUGGAACUGUCGUGGCUUGGAGUUGGACUUGGCAGUUGGCAAACUUCGUAACCUGAUUAGGUCCGACAACCCAGCGGUGGUAUUUCUGAGCGAAACAACGAAAAGUGUAAGGGCGAUGGAGAAACUGAAGUGGAGUUUGGGUUUCAGGAGUGGGGUGGCAGUGAGCUGUGUGGGUAGAAGUGGUGGUCUUGCGUUGUGGUGGAGAGAACAUGUGCAAGUAACUAUUAGGCCAUGGUGCCAAUACUUUCUGGAUGCGGAAUUGGUGGUGGAGGGAAAAUCUCUUAGGAUCACUGGAUUCUAUAGGGAACCAGACACCGAAAAAAGGAAGAAGUCAUGGGAUGCUUUGAGGUACUUGCGGAUACAAGACAAUCUCCCUUGGCUCUGUGUGGGAGACUUCAACGAGGCCAUGUUCCAAUCCGAUCAACAAGGGGGAAAUAAGCGGAGUCUCAGGCAAAUGGAGGCAUUCAGAGAUUGCUUAGCGGAAUGUGGCCUAGCUAACUUGGGCUUCUCUGGAUAUAGAUAUAAUAAUAGGAGAGAUGGAGAUGCAAAUGUGUAG